GAAGGCGGUUCCUCCGGAGUGAGGCUUGGCCAUUGCACCUCGGCUGAGUUGACCUCUGCGAAUUAUUCCUAAUGUGAUUAACUCGUGCGUGUAAUUUUUGGUAGCCGGGAAUGGCGUUCGCGCCGUCCCGA
Molecule: small nuclear RNA, 131 nt
Filed under: Drosophila melanogaster (fruit fly)
Lineage: Eukaryota; Metazoa; Arthropoda; Insecta; Diptera; Drosophilidae
Description: partial snRNA:U1
Rfam family: U1 spliceosomal RNA
About the family: U1 is a small nuclear RNA (snRNA) component of the spliceosome (involved in pre-mRNA splicing). Its 5' end forms complementary base pairs with the 5' splice junction, thus defining the 5' donor site of an intron.
Source: RNAcentral